This 253-nucleotide ribosomal RNA is filed under the name uncultured bacterium. RNAcentral's name for it is "partial 16S ribosomal RNA". It matches the Rfam family "Bacterial small subunit ribosomal RNA", at positions 524 to 776 of the family's 1533-position model. The record is from RNAcentral.
UACGAAGGUGGCAAGCGUUAUUCGAAAUCACUGGGCUUAAAGGGCGCGUAGGCGGACAUGAAAGUGUUUUGUGAAAUCCCCCGGCUUAACCGGGGAAUUGCUUGGCAAACUACAUGUCUUGAGUCAAGUAGGGGUGUGUGGAACUCUUGGUGGAGCGGUGGAAUGCGUAGAUAUCAAGAGGAACGCCGAAGGUGAAGACAGCACACUGGGCUUGAACUGACGCUGAGGCGCGAAAGCGUGGGGAGCAAACAGG